UAAAAUAGUCAUUUUGCCGACAUUUCAUAAAAUCGCCAGUUUUAAGCUCAGUUCAGAGGCUUUUAAAAAAAUAUUCUAGACCUAGUAAAGUGCCUCCAUUCAUAAAAUGAAACAUCCAAGAUUGAGACAAUUUCAUACUGAUGCGCAUCUAAAAUAGGUCGACGUAUACAGUAAAUAAACAGCGCCUCUAAGUUGCCAUAUUUCAGUUAGUGGAAUACACACCCAGCCUUCGCCGUUCUGGAUGUGCAAACUAGAAACUGAAGACAAAUGGGGAUUUCAGCGUCUAGUCCCAAUCGUUCAGCACGGAAGUACUCCACACGGUCGGCUGCUUUUCAAAAACCACCAGGACGACGUCCCAUGUCGAGCCGACCGCUGAGCCGCACGCCUCCCCACGGCGGGGGCGAGAUGGACGACGAGGAGGAGGAGGGCGGGGAGCCGCCGCCGCCGUUCCCACCGCGGGCGCAGCCGAAGCGCGGCUCGCCGUCCACCGCUUUGGUGAUGAGCGUGGCGAGCCCCAGGUAGUCGUUCCAGGAGCUGAAGGGCUGCGGGUGCGCCGGGCCCGGGGCGCUCACGUAGCGGGCGCUGGGCACGAGCGCCAUGGGCGGGGGGGCGCGGCCGC
Molecule: long non-coding RNA, 619 nt
Filed under: Homo sapiens (human)
Lineage: Eukaryota; Metazoa; Chordata; Mammalia; Primates; Hominidae
Description: non-protein coding lnc-EIF3A-1:1
Source: RNAcentral